Trachemys scripta elegans is the source of this 1287-nucleotide long non-coding RNA. RefSeq lists it as uncharacterized. NCBI's taxonomy places the organism in Eukaryota, Metazoa, Chordata, Testudines, Emydidae. The transcript is spliced from 3 exons. The record is from RefSeq and is a predicted model, not a curated record.
GGUUGUGUUAAUGUUCCCUCGACAUCGGCGUGGGUGGGAACCGCAGUUGGGGACUCCAGGGUUGGGGCAGGACAUUGGCCUUUGCUGAGCUGACGUAUCCAUCCGGCACCGGGAGCGGACCGGGCCGUGCAUGAGGCAGAUCUCCAGCGGGGAGCUGGAGGGAGGCAGGGAUCGAGACUUGCUGGGGUCGCUCUGCAGUUUAAUUGCACCUCCCCAGACAGCGAUCUGGGACUCACUGAGUGCAACAAAUCACGGAGCCUGUGAGUCCAGGUGCUGGCUGCCCCCCGGAGCCGCGGAGCAGGAGGAUGUGGGUGCCAGGAGCCAGCCAGAUGCCCCCUUCCACCAAGCUCUGCAUUGAAAUCAUCCUCGCACUGCUCUGCCAGGAGAAGUUUGCAGCUCCAUCAGAUGCAGAAGCAGCAUCUCUUUGGGGUCCAAUUGACAAGCUUUUAUCUCUUCUGAGAUGUGGGUUGUCAGAGAUGGGGCCGAUAUGUCAUCUAUAACCUGAACAUCUAGAAGUGCAUCUACUGGCCUCCCACGGCCAUCAGGAGAACGUUCGCAGUGACUUAGUACGUGACACCCAUUUGCACGGUGCAUUUCUCAGCCAUGUCUGCACGUUGUCUGACUGCGGGGAGAGAGUUCUUCACUUCCCAGCUCCUGCGUCUUUCAAACCCAGCGUCCACAUUCAGCGUUAACAAGUGACAGUGCACUUCACGUGGCCUCCCGUUGGGGUGUGACACAAACUGCGCUGUGUCUCCAGCAUUAAGUGCUUCUAAAUCUGCCUGUGCCCAUGACUGGCUCAGAGGUUUCCUGCAGACCAGACGCUUGGUGUUUUGCAGCCCUUUCACUGGGCUCGUCAGCCCUGGCUUUGUGAUGGGCCUGGCAAACCAAGCGCCUCCACUUUUCCCCGCUGUAGCAGCGAGACGCUUUCCUUCCGCGUAAGCUUUGUGGCCAGAGGUGCACCAGGGGCUUCCUUUGCACGGUCACUAAAUAGGAAACGUUUGAGCGACAAACAUGGAGAACAGCCCUUAGGUUGCGGUUUCUUCAGUAGGUAGCUUGGUUUGUGCUUCGGGCUGUUGGGACGUCGAUAAACCACGUGAAGCUGCAGAUGGCGGGUUGGUGCAGUUUGGUUCCUGGUAUGUUCCUCCCCUUAGUUGGUUUCAACACUGUGGAGGGUUGGGGGAUUUCAGGGUGGCCGCACCCCUCCUUGUGGGGGAGGGAAAUCCCUGAUACUGGACAAAUAAUUUAUGGUUUGGGGAACUAAAGGGGCUCUGGCAGAGCUGUGGGGAG